This 503-nucleotide ribosomal RNA is filed under the name uncultured bacterium. RNAcentral's name for it is "bacterial SSU rRNA". It matches the Rfam family "Bacterial small subunit ribosomal RNA", at positions 9 to 507 of the family's 1533-position model. The record is from RNAcentral.
GAGUUUGAUCAUGGCUCAGAUUGAACGCUAGCGGGAUGCCUUACACAUGCAAGUCGAACGGCAGCGCGGACUUCGGUCUGGCGGCGAGUGGCGAACGGGUGAGUAAUGUAUCGGAACGUGCCCAGUAGCGGGGGACAACCACUCGAAAGAGUGGCUAAUACCGCAUACGCCCUACGGGGAAAGGGGGGGAUCGCAAGACCUCUCACUAUUGGAGCGGCCGAUAUCGGAUUAGCUAGUUGGUGGGGUAAAGGCCUACCAAGGCGACGAUCCGUAGCUGGUUUGAGAGGACGACCAGCCACACUGGGACUGACGACACGGCCCAGACUCCUACGGGAGGCAGCAGUGGGGAAUUUUGGACAAUGGGGGAAACCCUGAUCCAGCCAUUCCGCGUGUGCGAUGAAGGCCUUCGGGUUGUAAAGCACUUUUGGCAGGAAAGAAAUCGUGUGGGUUAAUACCCUGCGCGGAUGACGGUACCUGCAGAAUAAGCACCGGCUAACUACGUG